This is an RNA transcript of Ziziphus jujuba (common jujube), 1036 nucleotides long. RefSeq lists it as uncharacterized. The transcript has 4 exons. The record is from RefSeq and is a predicted model, not a curated record. Lineage: Eukaryota; Viridiplantae; Streptophyta; Magnoliopsida; Rosales; Rhamnaceae.
ACUCGCUCACCGGUUAGUGUAACGAGGCAGUGAAAUUAUAUGGUUGGAUGGGGUUUCUACAUUCUCGUUCUGCAUCUGCCGCCACGUUUCCUGAUACAACUUUAGAAUCAGAAUGACUAGUUUUUAGUAGCGAAUCCGGAACCCUAAAAAAAAAAAAUAAAAGGGAAAAAGCCAUAAGAAUUAAAUUGAUAAUUGGUGGAAAAAGAAAAACCCGCUUUGAGGCUUGAGAGGGUAAGGAAGAGGAAGAGGAAGAGGUUUAUAGAAGAAGAAGAUGAGUAGCAAUUGGAGGAGAUCGUUGGGGAAUGUGAGGUCGUUCAUUGGGAAUUGCAUGGGAGGUCUAAGAGGAGGAAGCAACCUCGCCUCCUGGGUGGUGGCGGGAAGCCUUGCCUACUUCCUCUGGGUCAAGCCCUCUCAGGACCUCCAGCGACAGCAACAGGAAAGGGCUGCUCUUGCAGCUUCAGAUCCUAAUCGGUACAUCGAGAGACGAAAGCCCAUUCCUGAUCCUCAGGAAACUGGGUUAAUUUACGGAAAGAAGAAUUUAGAUCGUAAGCCCGACGAUUGAACGUUCCUGCUAGACUUUGCAGAAGUAAAAUUUGAGUCACGUCUUGUAAUUAUCAGAAAGCUAGGCACGGACACAAAAAGAAAGAGCCCUGAUCUAAAGCGGACUUUAAACCAAUCUGUUUUGCUGAUCUAGGAUUCCAACAAAGAGACUAUUUUGAGUUGGUGAAGCGCUGCCUAAUUUGGAGUCCAUGUAGACCAGCCGCUGAAUCCUGUGAACUUGAUAUUUGCCGAACAACCAUCCUUGUUGUUCACCGGAGAUGUGGAUAAAACUCCAUUGUAAUUUGGAUAGCCUCUUGUGAUUGUGAGAGCUACAUUAAUUCUCUUCACAAAUGCAAACGAUAGGAAUAGGAGACUUCUCUUAUCCAACAUUCGUUAUUCAUAAAAUGAUAAUGGAUCUUGUGUAAUUUUUUUUAUUUUUUAUUUUAUUUUUUAAUAAAAGAGGAGUAUAAAAAGGAAACAGUUUUAUUGGGCUCAA